UACGAAGGGGGCUAGCGUUGCUCGGAAUCACUGGGGCGUAAAGGGUGCGUAGGCGGGUCUUUAAGUCAGGGGUGAAAUCCUGGAGCUCAACUCCAGAACUGCCUUUGAUACUGAGGAUCUUGAGUUCGGGAGAGGUGAGUGGAACUGCGAGUGUAGAGGUGAAAUUCGUAGAUAUUCGCAAGAACACCAGUGGCGAAGGCGGCUCACUGGCCCGAUACUGACGCUGAGGCACGAAAGCGUGGGGGAGCAAACAGG
RNAcentral lists this ribosomal RNA (255 nucleotides) under uncultured bacterium. Its description in RNAcentral is "partial 16S ribosomal RNA". It matches the Rfam family "Bacterial small subunit ribosomal RNA", at positions 524 to 776 of the family's 1533-position model. The record is from RNAcentral.